RNAcentral lists this ribosomal RNA (453 nucleotides) under uncultured organism. RNAcentral describes it as "bacterial SSU rRNA". It matches the Rfam family "Bacterial small subunit ribosomal RNA", at positions 28 to 507 of the family's 1533-position model. The record is from RNAcentral.
GACGAACGUUGGCGGCGUGCCUAACACAUGCAAGUCGAGGGGUAGCAAUACCACUGGCGCACGGGUGAGUAACGCGUAGAUUAUCUGCCCCUAUCACAGACAUAACGUCGGGAAACUGACGCUAAUAUCUGAUGAGGCAAUUCAUUGUCAAAGGAGCGAUCCGGAUAGGGAUGAGUCUGCGUCUGAUUAGCUUGUUGGUAGUGUAACGGACUACCAAGGCGAUGAUCAGUAACUGGUCUGAGAGGACGAUCAGUCACACUGGAACUGAGACACGGUCCAGACUCCUACGGGAGGCAGCAGUGAGGAAUAUUGGUCAAUGGGGGCAACCCUGAACCAGCGACGCCGCGUGAAGGAUGACAGGGCUUUGCCCCGUAAACUUCUGUCGGGAGGGAAAAAAGGACUGUUUGGCGGUCUGGGAUUGUACCUCUAAAGGAAGCACCGGCUAACUACGUG